Molecule: ribosomal RNA, 367 nt
Filed under: Escherichia coli
Lineage: Bacteria; Pseudomonadati; Pseudomonadota; Gammaproteobacteria; Enterobacterales; Enterobacteriaceae
Description: bacterial SSU rRNA
Rfam family: Bacterial small subunit ribosomal RNA
Source: RNAcentral
GAGUAAUGUCUGGGAAACUGCCUGAUGGAGGGGGAUAACUACUGGAAACGGUAGCUAAUACCGCAUAACGUCGCAAGACCAAAGAGGGGGACCUUCGGGCCUCUUGCCAUCGGAUGUGCCCAGAUGGGAUUAGCUUGUUGGUGGGGUAACGGCUCACCAAGGCGACGAUCCCUAGCUGGUCUGAGAGGAUGACCAGCCACACUGGAACUGAGACACGGUCCAGACUCCUACGGGAGGCAGCAGUGGGGAAUAUUGCACAAUGGGCGCAAGCCUGAUGCAGCCAUGCCGCGUGUAUGAAGAAGGCCUUCGGGUUGUAAAGUACUUUCAGCGGGGAGGAAGGGAGUAAAGUUAAUACCUUUGCUCAUUG